RNAcentral lists this long non-coding RNA (359 nucleotides) under Phaseolus vulgaris (common bean). Its description in RNAcentral is "long non-coding RNA (PVUL_LNC004146)". The record is from RNAcentral. Lineage: Eukaryota; Viridiplantae; Streptophyta; Magnoliopsida; Fabales; Fabaceae.
GGAAGAGUGGCCCUGGUGGGUGAUGCUGCUGGGUAUGUAACGAAAUGCUCCGGAGAGGGGAUAUAUUUUGCGGCCAAGAGUGGGAGGAUGUGUGCAGAGGCAAUUGUUGAAGGUUCAGAGAAUGGGAAGAGGAUGGUGGAAGAAGGGGACUUGAGAAAGUACUUGGAGAAGUGGGAUAAGGCUUAUUGGCCCACUUACAAGGUGUUGGAUGUGCUUCAGAAGGUGUUUUACAGGUCCAACCCUGCGAGGGAAGCGUUUGUGGAGAUGUGUGCUGAUGAGUAUGUGCAGAAGAUGACCUUUGAUAGCUAUUUGUACAAGACAGUGGUGCCUGGCAAUCCACUGGAGGAUCUGAAAUUGGC